CCCUGGGGAAGGAACCGCAGCUGCAGGAAGGGUUCUGUGCAGCCUGAGCUUGAGGGAGAUGUGGCACAGCUGGCUCAUUCUUUAAUCACCA
Molecule: long non-coding RNA, 91 nt
Organism: Myotis davidii
Lineage: Eukaryota; Metazoa; Chordata; Mammalia; Chiroptera; Vespertilionidae
Exons: 3
Source: RefSeq, a predicted model, not a curated record